Pelobates cultripes (western spadefoot toad) is the source of this 212-nucleotide non-coding RNA. Lineage: Eukaryota; Metazoa; Chordata; Amphibia; Anura; Pelobatidae. The record is from the annotation of a GenBank genome assembly.
GUGUUGCACAGGGUGAUGCAAAUUGUGGUCACACCAGAUAUUGACUGGUUUUCAGACCCCCGGACCCUCCAAACUGCACAUUUUAGAGUGGCCUUUUAUUGUGGCCAGCCUAAGGCACACCUGUGCAAUAAUCAUGCUGUCUAAAUAGCAUCUUGAUAUGCCACACCUGUGAGGUGGAUGGAUUAUCUCGCAAAGGAGAAGUGCUCACUAAC